RNAcentral lists this ribosomal RNA (420 nucleotides) under uncultured bacterium. Its description in RNAcentral is "partial 16S ribosomal RNA". It matches the Rfam family "Bacterial small subunit ribosomal RNA", at positions 361 to 773 of the family's 1533-position model. The record is from RNAcentral.
AUAUUAGACAAUGGGGGCAACCCUGAUCCAGCCAUUCUGCUUGUGUGAAGAAGGUCUUCGGAUUGUAAAGCACUUUAAGUUGGGAGGAAGGGCCUUAGGUUAAUACCCUGAAGUUUUGACGUUACCAACAGACUAAGCACCGGCUAACUCUGUGCCAGCAGCCGCGGUAAUACAGAGGGUGCAAGCGUUAAUCGGAAUUACUGGGCGUAAAGCGAGAGUAGGUGGUUCAGUAAGAUGGGUGUGAAAUCCCCGGGCUUAACCUGGGAACUGCUUUCAUAACUGCUGAGCUAGAGGACGGUAGAGGGUAGUGGAAUUUCCUGUGUAGCGGUGAAAUGCGUAGAUAUAGGAAGGAACACCAGUGGCGAAGGCGACUACCUGGACUGAUACUGACACUGAGGUGCGAAAGCGUGGGGAGCAAAC